Molecule: long non-coding RNA, 340 nt
Organism: Saccostrea cuccullata (small rock oyster)
Lineage: Eukaryota; Metazoa; Mollusca; Bivalvia; Ostreida; Ostreidae
Exons: 3
Source: RefSeq, a predicted model, not a curated record
ACAGACAUCGAAAGACCGUAUUUCUUUAGCUUGUUUGGAUGAUUUAACCGAUUCUUACUUGUGUAAAAGUGCGAUACAUGUUUUUCUGUUAAAUACCCUCUGUUUGUUUGGAUAAUUCUACAGGAACCGUCAACAGCGGACUUGAAUAGAUGAUGUGCGAGAUCAUAAAAUGGAAUGCCUGCACUCAUGCGUCAUCACGGUAUAAAGGAUUUCAACUUAAAAAGAAACCCUGAACAUUUGCAGCUGUACAGAAUGCAGUUCAUGCCAUAUGCUGUUAGAGUAAAUGAUGAAAGAUGUUCAAACCACUAUCAAAGAGUCCUAAGUCUAAAAUCAUGGUGCU